UAUGGGAUUGCCCACCUGCUG
This 21-nucleotide non-coding RNA is filed under the name Arabidopsis thaliana (thale cress). The record is from RNAcentral. Lineage: Eukaryota; Viridiplantae; Streptophyta; Magnoliopsida; Brassicales; Brassicaceae.